This 72-nucleotide transfer RNA is filed under the name Lyngbya confervoides BDU141951. Its description in RNAcentral is "tRNA-Thr". It matches the Rfam family "tRNA". From Rfam's summary of the family: Transfer RNA (tRNA) molecules are approximately 80 nucleotides in length. Their secondary structure includes four short double-helical elements and three loops (D, anti-codon, and T loops). Lineage: Bacteria; Bacillati; Cyanobacteriota; Cyanophyceae; Oscillatoriales; Microcoleaceae. The record is from RNAcentral.
GCCCGUGUAGCUCAGCGGUAGAGCGCACCCUUGGUAAGGGUGAGGUCACGAGUUCAAUUCUCGUCAUGGGCU